CGGACGAUGUCGGAUUUUGGGUUUAAGGGAGCGUAGGCGGUCUAAUAAGUCUGAGGUGAAGGUUGUGGCUUAACUGAUAAUUCUCUUUAAACCGGUUAACCUUGAUGCUCUAUGGGAUAGUGGAAAUCCGGUUGUACCGUUAAAAUGCUAAAAUAUGGACGAACACCCGAUGGCAAAGGCGCUCUCUGGCUUGACACUGACCCUUAAGCUCCAAAGCGUGGGGAGCAAACAGGAUUAAAUACCCUGGUAGUCCAACCCGUAAACCAUGAGUGCCAAGUGUUAGACCCUUUUCGGGGUUUAGUGCCGCAACUGAUGCAUUACCCACUCCGCCGGGGGACUACGACCUGUGGGUUUAAAUGAAUGG
This 364-nucleotide ribosomal RNA is filed under the name uncultured bacterium. RNAcentral's name for it is "bacterial SSU rRNA". It matches the Rfam family "Bacterial small subunit ribosomal RNA", at positions 535 to 907 of the family's 1533-position model. The record is from RNAcentral.